GAUGAAGAACGCAGCGAAAUGCGAUAAGUAAUGUGAAUUGCAGAAUUCAGUGAAUCAUCGAAUCUUUGAACGCACAUUGCGCCCGCCAGUAUUCUGGCGGGCAUGCCUGUUCGAGCGUCAUUACAACCCUCAGGCCCCCGGGCCUGGCGUUGGGGAUCGGCGGAGCCCCCCGUGGGCACACGCCGUCCCCCAAAGGCAGUGGCGGUCCCGCCGCAGCUUCCAUCGCGUAGUAGCUAACACCUCGCGACUGGAGAGCGGCGCGGCCACGCCGUAAAACACCCAACUCUUCUGAAGUUGACCUCGAAUCAGGUAGGAAUACCCGCUGAACUUAAGCAUAUCAAUAAGCGGAGGA
Molecule: unclassified non-coding RNA, 352 nt
Filed under: soil metagenome
Description: partial contains 5.8S ribosomal RNA, internal transcribed spacer 2, and large subunit ribosomal RNA
Rfam family: 5.8S ribosomal RNA (bases 1-120)
Source: RNAcentral